This 414-nucleotide ribosomal RNA is filed under the name Heracleum fargesii. Its description in RNAcentral is "partial external transcribed spacer". Lineage: Eukaryota; Viridiplantae; Streptophyta; Magnoliopsida; Apiales; Apiaceae. The record is from RNAcentral.
UGACUACUGGCAGGAUCACCAGGUAGCAUCUUUUUGCCGCCGGCACCGUAUGAGCGAGGACAAUUACUAUCCUGCCGUCAACACAUGGCACAUCAGGGCUUUCGUAAGGGACAAUUGAUUCGGGCAAAAAGGGACAAAGUCCCCGACCGAUUUUUGCUUCUACAUACAAGACUUCGAGCAACCCUUGGGCGUCCAAUGCCUGCUAGCUAAAUAAGAAAAGCAAGAGCAGACGUCCAUGGGUGCUAACUUGUCUACGUCGCACAAAACCUUUUAGCACGAGAUAGAGUAUGGAUCGUGGGACUAGAGAAUUCCGUCAAAAUAGGUAUGCUGCACAGGGGGCCAAGGCAGUCCAAGGUAAAAGAUUUUGCACUCAAACAGAAUUGAACAGGUGUGAACUAGCGAUUGUCGCUGCCA